This 460-nucleotide ribosomal RNA is filed under the name uncultured bacterium. RNAcentral's name for it is "partial 16S ribosomal RNA". It matches the Rfam family "Bacterial small subunit ribosomal RNA", at positions 338 to 795 of the family's 1533-position model. The record is from RNAcentral.
CCUACGGGCGGUAGCAGUGAGGAAUAUUGGUCAAUGGACGAGAGUCUGAACCAGCCAAGUAGCGUGAAGGAUGACUGCCCUAUGGGUUGUAAACUUCUUUUAUAAAGGAAUAAAACGAGGCACGUGUGCCUUUUUGCAUGUACUUUAUGAAUAAGGAUCGGCUAACUCCGUGCCAGCAGCCGCGGUAAUACGGAGGAUCCGAGCGUUAUCCGGAUUUACUGGGUGUAAAGGGGGCGCAGACGGCGAUGCAAGCCAGGAGUGAAAGCCCGCGGCCCAACCCCGGGACUGCUCUUGGUACUGGGUGGCUAGAGUGCAGGAGAGGCAGGCGGAAUUCCUGGUGUAGCGGUGAAAUGCGUAGAUAUCAGGAAGAACACCGGUGGCGAAGGCGGCCUGCUGGACUGCGACUGACGUUGAGGCCCGAAAGCGUGGGGAGCAAACAGGAUUAGAUACCCGUGUAGUC